Molecule: long non-coding RNA, 931 nt
Organism: Oreochromis aureus
Lineage: Eukaryota; Metazoa; Chordata; Actinopteri; Cichliformes; Cichlidae
Exons: 3
Source: RefSeq, a predicted model, not a curated record
CUCUCUGUCAGUGUUGUGUUGUACCUGCACUAAACUGUGUGUUCUGUCUGCCUUGCUGGUCUAAUUUAUUGCUUUAUUCCUCAGUUUAGUUAGUUUUCCCCAGGUCAAGCAAUAUAGCCGUUUUUGAGUUCACCUUCUGCCUCCUGGAGCUUGAAUUUUGGGUCCUCCAUUCCUUCCUACUGCACACAGACAUGAUGACCAAAAAUGAAUGCAAAAGCAACCCAAGAGUUUCUCAAGGCCGUCAGUCCGAUUUGAGUUUUUCAGUUACUGAAGAUAAAACCGAAGACACAAAAACCACAAACUCAGCAGCAGCUGGAGGUGGCCACAGUGAAGGCCUAUAAAAGCAUCUCAGAGAAAUGUAUCUCAAAAGGAAAUGUAGCAUUUGGUGAUGCAAAAGUGUUCUGGACUUCAGGCAGUCACUGACUGCAAAGGAUUUUAAGUAUUAAAAACAAUCCUUAUAUUUAAAAUGAUGCUAGUUUGUCUGUUUCAGCCCGAGGGAGGAAAGACGAUUGUGAGCAGCUUCUCUGACCCCAUCGCUCUCAUCUGCCCGCCUAUGGAACACCCAUAUAUCUUCACUCGACCGAUUGCAGCCAAGUCAGACCAACCUCCCCUCCAGACUGAUGCUCCAUCACCGGCAGUCAUCUUCCUGCUGCUCCUCCUGGCACAGCUUGGAGUUAUGUAGCUUUUAAUUCCUGUCCCCGAGGCAAAACACACAGUGGGCGAAAGGAGUUUUUUAGCCAUUCACCAGCAUGGAGGAAAUGACUGCAAACUGACAUUUGACAACAAACAAUCAUUGCAAUCAUGCAACAGAAAUAUUUAAAUCUCAGAGGAUGUUGGAGAUGGACGAGAUGAGGAUAGGGGAGCUUCAGAUGGUUGGGGGUUGUCUCUAUAAUAUUGCCAGAUUUUUACUAAAUAAAGUGCCUGGAGAUGA